RNAcentral lists this ribosomal RNA (235 nucleotides) under uncultured bacterium. RNAcentral's name for it is "partial 16S ribosomal RNA". It matches the Rfam family "Bacterial small subunit ribosomal RNA", at positions 99 to 334 of the family's 1533-position model. The record is from RNAcentral.
CGGACGGGUGAGUAACGCGUGGGUAACCUGCCUUGUACUGGGGGACAACAGUUAGAAAUGACUGCUAAUACCGCAUAAGCGCACAGUAUCGCAUGAUACAGUGUGAAAAACUCCGGUGGUACAAGAUGGACCCGCGUCUGAUUAGCUAGUUGGUAAGGUAACGGCUUACCAAGGCGACGAUCAGUAGCCGACCUGAGAGGGUGACCGGCCACAUUGGGACUGAGACACGGUCCAG